GCACCCCGAUGCCACUUCUGCUUUAUUUACUGAUUUGUAAUCAGUAGGUCCGCGGUUCGAGUCCGUGUGGGGGCACCA
Molecule: transfer RNA, 78 nt
Filed under: Paracoccaceae bacterium
Lineage: Bacteria; Pseudomonadati; Pseudomonadota; Alphaproteobacteria; Rhodobacterales; Paracoccaceae
Description: tRNA-Ser
Source: RNAcentral